RNAcentral lists this small nuclear RNA (190 nucleotides) under Mitosporidium daphniae. Its description in RNAcentral is "U2 spliceosomal RNA". It matches the Rfam family "U2 spliceosomal RNA". From Rfam's summary of the family: U2 is a small nuclear RNA (snRNA) component of the spliceosome (involved in pre-mRNA splicing). Complementary binding between U2 snRNA (in an area lying towards the 5' end but 3' to hairpin I) and the branchpoint sequence (BPS) of the intron results the bulging out of an unpaired adenosine, on the BPS, which initiates a nucleophilic attack at the intronic 5' splice site, thus starting the first of two transesterification reactions that mediate splicing. Lineage: Eukaryota; Fungi; Microsporidia. The record is from Rfam by way of RNAcentral.
UUAUCCUCUCAAGCCUAUUGGCUUAGAUCAAGUGUAGUAUCUGUUCUUAUCAGUUUGAAAACUGGUAUUCUUCCACCGGAAGAGUAUUAUUUUCAUUCUAAUUUUUUGCGCAGGGGGUUGUUGAUGGCUUGCCUAGACACCUCGUGGGUGUCCCUGGUAUUGUACUGCAUCCGGGUGACGUCCAGCCUCC